GACAACGUGACAGAGUGGUCUAAUGCGCAUGACUCGAAACCAUAUCUCCAAGGAGGCGUGUGCUCGAAUCCGGCCGUUGUCU
Molecule: transfer RNA, 82 nt
Filed under: Exutisphaerella laricina CBS 326.52
Lineage: Eukaryota; Fungi; Ascomycota; Dothideomycetes; Mycosphaerellales; Mycosphaerellaceae
Description: tRNA-Ser (CGA) (tRNA-Ser-CGA-2-1)
Source: RNAcentral